UGUACGACUCUCGGCAACGGAUAUCUAGGCUCUCGCAUCGAUG
RNAcentral lists this ribosomal RNA (43 nucleotides) under Gladiolus imbricatus. Its description in RNAcentral is "partial 5.8S ribosomal RNA". The record is from RNAcentral. Lineage: Eukaryota; Viridiplantae; Streptophyta; Magnoliopsida; Asparagales; Iridaceae. RNAcentral also lists the same sequence under 2 other names.